Molecule: non-coding RNA, 122 nt
Organism: Fusarium musae
Lineage: Eukaryota; Fungi; Ascomycota; Sordariomycetes; Hypocreales; Nectriaceae
Source: the annotation of a RefSeq genome assembly
GCCCCCAUGGCUCAGUGGUUAGAGCGCUCCGCCCUGCUUCGUCGAUAUAGCAUACACACUUUCCCUGCUUCGUCGAUAUAGGCACACCGGAGAGGUCCUGAGUUCAAUCCUCGGUGGGGGCA